This is a small nuclear RNA of Zingiber officinale, 103 nucleotides long. Lineage: Eukaryota; Viridiplantae; Streptophyta; Magnoliopsida; Zingiberales; Zingiberaceae. The record is from RefSeq and is a predicted model, not a curated record.
GCUCUCUCCUAGGAGAGUACCAAAAAAUUAGAACAAAAUAGAAAAGAUUAGCAUGCUCUGUAGGAAUAUGACACGUAGAAAUCAAGAAAUGAUUUAAAUUUUU